AUUGAACGCUGGCGGCAGGCUUAACACAUGCAAGUCGAGCGGAGAGAGGUAGCUUGCUACUGAUCUUAGCGGCGGACGGGUGAGUAAUGCUUAGGAAUCUGCCUAUUAGUGGGGGACAACAUUUCGAAAGGAAUGCUAAUACCGCAUACGUCCUACGGGAGAAAGCAGGGGAUCUUCGGACCUUGCGCUAAUAGAUGAGCCUAAGUCGGAUUAGCUAGUUGGUGGGGUAAAGGCCUACCAAGGCGACGAUCUGUAGCGGGUCUGAGAGGAUGAUCCGCCACACUGGGACUGAGACACGGCCCAGACUCCUACGGGAGGCAGCAGUGGGGAAUAUUGGACAAUGGGCGCAAGCCUGAUCCAGCCAUGCCGCGUGUGUGAAGAAGGCCCUAUGGUUGUAAAGCACUUUAAGCGAGGAGGAGGCUACUUUAGAUAAUACCUAGAGAUAGUGGACGUUACUCGCAGAAUAAGCACCGGCUAACUCUGUGCCAGCCGCCACAGUAA
This 501-nucleotide ribosomal RNA is filed under the name uncultured bacterium. RNAcentral describes it as "partial 16S ribosomal RNA". It matches the Rfam family "Bacterial small subunit ribosomal RNA", at positions 30 to 523 of the family's 1533-position model. The record is from RNAcentral.